CCCUUGAUGUCCUGGGCCGCACGCGCGCUACACUGAGUGUCUGAGAUACGAGUCUGCCUGGUCCGGCAAGGUCUAGGUAAUCGCUAAAAGACACAUCAUGCUUGGGAUAGAUUAUUGCAAAUAUUAAUCUUGAACGAGGAAUUCCUAGUAAGCGCAAGUCAACAGCUUGCGUUUAUUACGUCCCUGCCCUUUGUACACACCGCCCGUCGCUACUACUGAUUGGAUGUUUAAGCGAGGUUCUCGAACUGCUAGCGACUUAGCUUCGGUGAGGUCGCAGUGUGGGAAGUGAACCUAGCUUUGGUGUCUAGAGGAAGUAAAAGUCGUAACA
RNAcentral lists this ribosomal RNA (328 nucleotides) under uncultured eukaryote. RNAcentral's name for it is "partial 18S ribosomal RNA". It matches the Rfam family "Eukaryotic small subunit ribosomal RNA", at positions 1471 to 1796 of the family's 1831-position model. The record is from RNAcentral.